Molecule: ribosomal RNA, 253 nt
Filed under: uncultured bacterium
Lineage: Bacteria
Description: partial 16S ribosomal RNA
Rfam family: Bacterial small subunit ribosomal RNA
Source: RNAcentral
UACGGGGGGGGUAAGCGUUGUUCGGAAUUACUGGGCGUAAAGAGCGCGCAGGCGGUCGUGCAAGUCGCGUGUGAAAGCCCCCGGCUCAACUGGGGAGGGUCACGCGAUACUGCUCGACUCGAAGGCAGGAGAGGGAAGUGGAAUUCCCGGUGUAGUGGUGAAAUGCGUAGAUAUCGGGAGGAACACCAGUGGCGAAGGCGACUUCCUGGCCUGUUCUUGACGCUGAGGCGCGAAAGCUAGGGGAGCAAACGGG